Molecule: ribosomal RNA, 1172 nt
Filed under: metagenome
Description: SSU rRNA
Rfam family: Eukaryotic small subunit ribosomal RNA
Source: RNAcentral
AGUCUGGUGCCAGCAGCCGCGGUAAUUCCAGCUCCGCAAGUGUAUAUCUAUGUUGCUGCGGUUAAAAAGCUCGUAGUUGGAUCUGCGUGUUUAGCGUCCGGUUCGACUUUUGGUCGUUACUGGAACGCGACACAGAUGUGCUGGUUUGCCGUUGAUGCUCUUAACCGGGUGUCAGUGGCGGCUAGCGAGUUUACUUUGAAAAAAUUAGAGUGCUCAAAACAGGCGUUUCGCCUGAAUAUUUCUGCAUGGAAUAAUAGAAUAGGACUUCGAUUCUAUUCUGUUGGUUUUCGGAAUGCGAAGUAAUGAUUAAGAGGGACAGACGAGGGCAUUCGUACUGCGACGUUAGAGGUGAAAUUCUUGGAUCGUCGCAAGACGUACUACUGCGAAGGCAUUUGCCAAGAAUGUUUUCAUUAAUCAAGAACGAAAGUUAUGGGUUCGAAGGCGAUCAGAUACCGCCCUAGUCAUAACCGUAAACGAUUCAAACUGGGCGCCCGACGGUGUUUUUAUUGACCCGUCGGGAACCCUCCCGGAAACGAAAGUGUUCGUGUUCCGGGGGAAAUAUGUCUGCAAAGAGGAAACUUAAAGGAAUUGACGGAAGGGCACCACCAGGGGUGGAGCCUGCGGCUUAAUUUGACUCAACACGGGGAAACUCACCCGGCCCGGACACCGUAAGGAUUGACAGAUUGAGAGCUCUUUCUUGAUUCGGUGGGUGGUGGUGCAUGGCCGUUCUUAGUUGGUGGAGUGAUUUGUCUGGUUUAUUCCGAUAACGAACGAGACUCUGGCCUGCUAACUAGUGUUCACAUCUUUACGUGUGCUUCGCUUCUUAGAGGGACAGGCGGCUUCCAGCCGCAUGAAGAAGAGCAAUAACAGGUCUGUGAUGCCCUUAGAUGUCCGGGGCUGCACGCGCGCUACACUGAAAGAAUCAGCGUGUACGUUACCUGGCUCGAAAGAGUCGGGUAAUCCGGUGAAAAUCUUUCGUGAUUGGGAUCGGGACUUGCAAUUAUUUCCCUUGAACGAGGAAUCCCUAGUAAGUGCGGGUCAUCAGCUCGCGCUGAUUACGUCCCUGCCCUUUGUACACACCGCCCGUCGCUGCCCGGAACUGAGCCGUUUCGAGAAAAAUGGGGACUGUCUACUUGAGGUCUUCACGGACUUUUUGUAAAUGGAAACCGCUU